AUGGGAGUGAGAAUGUUGGCAUGAGUAGCGAGAUGUGGGUGAGAAUCCCACAGGCCGUAAACCCAAGGUUUCCAGGGGAAGGUUCGUCCGCCCUGGGGUAGUCGGGACCUAAGCUGAGGCCGAAAGGCGUAGGUGAUGGACAACAGGUUGAUAUUCCUGUACUACCGAUAACCGUUUGAGAGAAGGGAUGACACAGUAGGAUAAGCUAAGCACACUGUUGGUUAUGUGUGCCCAAGCAUUGAGGCAGUCAAAGUAGGCAAA
Molecule: ribosomal RNA, 261 nt
Filed under: Clostridioides difficile
Lineage: Bacteria; Bacillati; Bacillota; Clostridia; Peptostreptococcales; Peptostreptococcaceae
Description: partial 23S ribosomal RNA
Rfam family: Bacterial large subunit ribosomal RNA
Source: RNAcentral